Molecule: ribosomal RNA, 164 nt
Filed under: uncultured bacterium
Lineage: Bacteria
Description: partial 16S ribosomal RNA
Rfam family: Bacterial small subunit ribosomal RNA
Source: RNAcentral
UAGGGAAUCUUCCACAAUGGACGAAAGUCUGAUGGAGCAACGCCGCGUGAGUGAAGAAGGGUCUCGGCUCGUAAAACUCUGUUGUUAAAGAAGAACAUAUCUGAGAGUAACUGUUCAGGUAUUGACGGUAUUUAACCAGAAAGCCACGGCUAACUACGUGCUAG